GUGGGGAAUUUUGGACAAUGGGCGCAAGCCUGAUCCAGCAAUGCCGCGUGCAGGAAGAAGGCCUUCGGGUUGUAAACUGCUUUUGUACGGAACGAAACGGUCCUGGUUAAUACCUGGGGCUAAUGACGGUACCGUAAGAAUAAGCACCGGCUAACUACGUGCCAGCAGCCGCGGUAAUACGUAGGGUGCGAGCGUUAAUCGGAAUUACUGGGCGUAAAGCGUGCGCAGGCGGUUUUGUAAGACAGGCGUGAAAUCCCCGGGCUCAACCUGGGAAUUGCGCUUGUGACUGCAAGGCUGGAGUGCGGCAGAGGGGGAUGGAAUUCCGCGUGUAGCAGUGAAAUGCGUAGAUAUGCGGAGGAACACCGAUGGCGAAGGCAAUCCCCUGGGCCUGCACUGACGCUCAUGCACGAAAGCGUGGGGAGCAAACAGGAUUAGAUACCCGAGUAGUCC
This 450-nucleotide ribosomal RNA is filed under the name uncultured bacterium. RNAcentral describes it as "partial 16S ribosomal RNA". It matches the Rfam family "Bacterial small subunit ribosomal RNA", at positions 354 to 796 of the family's 1533-position model. The record is from RNAcentral.